Molecule: ribosomal RNA, 253 nt
Filed under: uncultured bacterium
Lineage: Bacteria
Description: partial 16S ribosomal RNA
Rfam family: Bacterial small subunit ribosomal RNA
Source: RNAcentral
UACGUAGGUGGCAAGCGUUGUCCGGAUUUAUUGGGCGUAAAGGGAACGCAGGCGGUCUUUUAAGUCUGAUGUGAAAGCCUUCGGCUUAACCGGAGUAGUGCAUUGGAAACUGGGAGACUUGAGUGCGGAAGAGGAGAGUGGAACUCCAUGUGUAGCGGUGAAAUGCGUAGAUAUAUGGAAGAACACCAGUGGCGAAAGCGGCUCUCUGGUCUGUAACUGACGCUGAGGUUCGAAAGCGUGGGUAGCAAACAGG